Molecule: long non-coding RNA, 204 nt
Organism: Terrapene triunguis (Three-toed box turtle)
Lineage: Eukaryota; Metazoa; Chordata; Testudines; Emydidae
Exons: 3
Source: RefSeq, a predicted model, not a curated record
UGGUGGGGGAGCAGGUGCUAGCCCGCUGCCCUGGCUUCAGUGGUCUGUACUGGGGGGUUGUGGAAGGCAUAAGCGAGCAUAAAGAUAUUUUAGAGAAAAGGCUGCAGGAAAAUAGACAACUCUUUGAGAAGCUAAAAGAAGAACCAGCAGUGCACAGUGGGCUGCCAUCCCAACCUAAAAAAUCAAGGAAGUCUUUUCCAAAAU